Molecule: ribosomal RNA, 2362 nt
Filed under: Salmonella enterica
Lineage: Bacteria; Pseudomonadati; Pseudomonadota; Gammaproteobacteria; Enterobacterales; Enterobacteriaceae
Description: partial 23S ribosomal RNA
Rfam family: Bacterial large subunit ribosomal RNA
Source: RNAcentral
CUCUUUAUGGGGGGUGACUGCGUACCUUUUGUAUAAUGGGUCAGCGACUUAUAUUCUGUAGCAAGGUUAACCGCAUAGGGGAGCCGAAGGGAAACCGAGUCUUAAUUGGGCGUUAAGUUGCAGGGUAUAGACCCGAAACCCGGUGAUCUAGCCAUGGGCAGGUUGAAGGUUGGGUAACACUAACUGGAGGACCGAACCGACUAAUGUUGAAAAAUUAGCGGAUGACCUGUGGCUGGGGGUGAAAGGCCAAUCAAACCGGGAGAUAGCUGGUUCUCCCCGAAAGCUAUUUAGGUAGCGCCUCGUGAACUCAUCUCCGGGGGUAGAGCACUGUUUCGGCUAGGGGGCCAUCCCGGCUUACCAACCCGAUGCAAACUGCGAAUACCGGAGAAUGUUAUCACGGGAGACACACGGCGGGUGCUAACGUCCGUCGUGAAGAGGGAAACAACCCAGACCGCCAGCUAAGGUCCCAAAGUCAUGGUUAAGUGGGAAACGAUGUGGGAAGGCCCAGACAGCCAGGAUGUUGGCUUAGAAGCAGCCAUCAUUUAAAGAAAGCGUAAUAGCUCACUGGUCGAGUCGGCCUGCGCGGAAGAUGUAACGGGGCUAAACCAUGCACCGAAGCUGCGGCAGCGACACUUUAGUGUUGUUGGGUAGGGGAGCGUUCUGUAAGCCGUUGAAGGUGUCCUGUGAGGGGUGCUGGAGGUAUCAGAAGUGCGAAUGCUGACAUAAGUAACGAUAAAGCGGGUGAAAAGCCCGCUCGCCGGAAGACCAAGGGUUCCUGUCCAACGUUAAUCGGGGCAGGGUGAGUCGACCCCUAAGGCGAGGCCGAAAGGCGUAGUCGAUGGGAAACGGGUUAAUAUUCCCGUACUUGGUGUUACUGCGAAGGGGGGACGGAGAAGGCUAUGUUGGCCGGGCGACGGUAGUCCCGGUUUAAGCGUGUAGGUGUGUGUUCCAGGCAAAUCCGGUUCACUUUAACACUGAGGCGUGAUGACGAGGCACCACGGUGCUGAAGCAACAAAUGCCCUGCUUCCAGGAAAAGCCUCUAAGCAUCAGGUAACAUCAAAUCGUACCCCAAACCGACACAGGUGGUCAGGUAGAGAAUACCAAGGCGCUUGAGAGAACUCGGGUGAAGGAACUAGGCAAAAUGGUGCCGUAACUUCGGGAGAAGGCACGCUGACACGUAGGUGAAGUGAUUUACUCACGGAGCUGAAGUCAGUCGAAGAUACCAGCUGGCUGCAACUGUUUAUUAAAAACACAGCACUGUGCAAACACGAAAGUGGACGUAUACGGUGUGACGCCUGCCCGGUGCCGGAAGGUUAAUUGAUGGGGUCAGCGCAAGCGAAGCUCCUGAUCGAAGCCCCGGUAAACGGCGGCCGUAACUAUAACGGUCCUAAGGUAGCGAAAUUCCUUGUCGGGUAAGUUCCGACCUGCACGAAUGGCGUAAUGAUGGCCAGGCUGUCUCCACCCGAGACUCAGUGAAAUUGAACUCGCUGUGAAGAUGCAGUGUACCCGCGGCAAGACGGAAAGACCCCGUGAACCUUUACUAUAGCUUGACACUGAACAUUGAGCCUUGAUGUGUAGGAUAGGUGGGAGGCUUUGAAGCGUGGACGCCAGUCUGCGUGGAGCCGACCUUGAAAUACCACCCUUUAAUGUUUGAUGUUCUAACGUGGACCCGUAAUCCGGGUUGCGGACAGUGUCUGGUGGGUAGUUUGACUGGGGCGGUCUCCUCCUAAAGAGUAACGGAGGAGCACGAAGGUUGGCUAAUCCUGGUCGGACAUCAGGAGGUUAGUGCAAUGGCAUAAGCCAGCUUGACUGCGAGCGUGACGGCGCGAGCAGGUGCGAAAGCAGGUCAUAGUGAUCCGGUGGUUCUGAAUGGAAGGGCCAUCGCUCAACGGAUAAAAGGUACUCCGGGGAUAACAGGCUGAUACCGCCCAAGAGUUCAUAUCGACGGCGGUGUUUGGCACCUCGAUGUCGGCUCAUCACAUCCUGGGGCUGAAGUAGGUCCCAAGGGUAUGGCUGUUCGCCAUUUAAAGUGGUACGCGAGCUGGGUUUAGAACGUCGUGAGACAGUUCGGUCCCUAUCUGCCGUGGGCGCUGGAGAAUUGAGGGGGGCUGCUCCUAGUACGAGAGGACCGGAGUGGACGCAUCACUGGUGUUCGGGUUGUCAUGCCAAUGGCACUGCCCGGUAGCUAAAUGCGGAAAAGAUAAGUGCUGAAAGCAUCUAAGCACGAAACUUGCCCCGAGAUGAGUUCUCCCUGAGACUUUGAGUCUCCUGAAGGAACGUUAAAGACGAUGACGUUGAUAGGCCGGGUGUGUAAGCGCAGCGAUGCGUUGAGCUAACCGGUACUAAUGAACCGUGAGGCUUA